AGGUUAAAGACUACAUGAGACUUUGACAGAUGGCGGGAAACCCUCAUCCACUGGUAAAGGAAUGUCUGCGACUAAGCCGAGGGCCACUGGAUAAGGGUUGUUGAAGGCAAAACAGGUAAAGGAAUGUCUGCGACUAAGCCGAGGGCCACUGGAUAAGGGUUGUUGAAGGCAAAACAGGUAAAGGAAUGUCUGCGACUAAGCCGAGGGCCACUGGAUAAGGGUUGUUGAAGGCAAAACAGGUUAAAGACUACAUGAGACUUUGACAGAUGGCGGGAAACCCUCAUCCACUGGUAAAGGAAUGUCUGCGACUAAGCCGAGGGCCACUGGAUAAGGGUUGUUGAAGGCAAAACAGGUAAAGGAAUGUCUGCGACUAAGCCGAGGGCCACUGGAUAAGGGUUGUUGAAGGCAAAACAGGUUAAAGACUACAUGAGACUUUGACAGAUGGCGGGAAACCCUCAUCCACUGGUACGAACCCGGUAAAUUGAUGGCUGUAAAACAGUGACCGCUGAUUCGCAUCGAGUUCUUUCUUGCAAAACGCAUGACCCCCCUUUUUUAUUGUCUAAAUCAUUGCGGCUCGGAAUGCUCUUUAAGAAAAGGUAAAGGAAUGUCUGCGACUAAGCCGAGGGCCACUGGAUAAGGGUUGUUGAAGGCAAAACAGGUAAAGGAAUGUCUGCGACUAAGCCGAGGGCCACUGGAUAAGGGUUGUUGAAGGCAAAACAGGUUAAAGACUACAUGAGACUUUGACAGAUGGCGGGAAACCCUCAUCCACUGCAUUUAAUAAAGCGUUCUGUCGAUAUUACAAAUCGUCUUCUGAUGUUCGCACUUCGUUCUGCGCAUUAUUGGAAUCACCGUUCUGUCUGAAAACCAGGUCGUUAUGACUGCUCUUAGCUUGGUUAUGUGCAAACUACACUCCGUUCUGUGGUUAAAUUGGCGGGAAAUAUGGAAUUAGUCGAGGAUUCCCGAUUGACCCGUCUAGUCUUAAAGCGCGCAGCAAUGGAGGCUGCACUUGAAGAAGUUGAGUCGAGGAUUCCCAAUUGACCCGUCUAGUCUUAAAGCGCGCAGCAAUGGAGGCUGCACUUGAAGAAGUUGAGUCGAGGAUUCCCAAUUGACCCGUCUAGUCUUAAAGCGCGCAGCAAUGGAGGCUGCACUUGAAGAAGUUGGCCUCGGGUAUUUGUGGCACAAUAUCAGGGCCAAUAAAAUAUCAUUAGAAGAAGCCAAAAAGUUGACUGAUGAAGAACUGUCCGCCUUAGGCGUCAAUACAAUAGGAGAUCGAGUUCGAUUAAAGGAAAAAUUAAAGGAAAGUGGCGAAGGUGGACGUAGGCAGCCAGUUACUCUUGGAAAGGUGCUGAAAUUUGUUAAUGGAACAGAAGAAGAGCCUGUGUUCGGAUUUUCGUUGAAGCCAUCCAUCCAAUUUUUCAGAAAACCAAUCAUUUUUGCCAUCCGCCAAUACAUGUAUCAACCGCUUAAAUUUGACCAUUCCCCCCGAGACUGCGGCUAUUCCAAAUGACACCGAGCUGUUCAAUCUGUAUGAUUAUGCCUUCUCAAAUGACUACUUGGACUGCAAUAAAUUUGAUCAAAUGUGUGAGACAGGGGAUAAGAACUACUUGAGAUAAUACAGCAACGGUGUAAAUCCAGACAACCAUAGUUUAUUCAGUAUAUGUUUUCACAUUUAAUUAUUUAAAGCAUGAGUGACUAUGCACUUCAACAAAUUGGCAUUUUUACAUUCAUUUUGUAUUUGCAGUGUAAGAUACUCUUCAGAAGAAUAACGAGAUAUGGUUCUCUGUUUCCAUGUUUUGUUUGUUCUCUUGUCAAUUAUUCAAGUUCCUAUUUGAUUAAUCUACAUAUGUCUAAUUGCAUAUUUGUUCAAUAGUAAUUCAGUGCAAUACGACGGUAAGUACUUAUUAAUUUAAAAGCACUUACCAUAAUAUUACACUGACCUGACUGUUGAGAGAUUUGCGUGU
Molecule: long non-coding RNA, 1961 nt
Organism: Dreissena polymorpha
Lineage: Eukaryota; Metazoa; Mollusca; Bivalvia; Myida; Dreissenidae
Exons: 13
Source: RefSeq, a predicted model, not a curated record